GUUGGUGUAGCUCAGUGGUAGAGUGCAUGCUUUGUAUGUAUGAUGUCCUGGGUUCAAUCCCCAGCUUCUCA
This 71-nucleotide transfer RNA is filed under the name Dallia pectoralis (Alaska blackfish). RNAcentral's name for it is "tRNA-OTHER". It matches the Rfam family "tRNA". Rfam says of the family: Transfer RNA (tRNA) molecules are approximately 80 nucleotides in length. Their secondary structure includes four short double-helical elements and three loops (D, anti-codon, and T loops). Further hydrogen bonds mediate the characteristic L-shaped molecular structure. tRNAs have two regions of fundamental functional importance: the anti-codon, which is responsible for specific mRNA codon recognition, and the 3' end, to which the tRNAs corresponding amino acid is attached (by aminoacyl-tRNA synthetases). tRNAs cope with the degeneracy of the genetic code in two manners: having more than one tRNA (with a specific anti-codon) for a particular amino acid; and 'wobble' base-pairing, i.e. permitting non-standard base-pairing at the 3rd anti-codon position. The record is from RNAcentral. Lineage: Eukaryota; Metazoa; Chordata; Actinopteri; Esociformes; Umbridae.